Molecule: non-coding RNA, 1273 nt
Organism: Varroa destructor (honeybee mite)
Lineage: Eukaryota; Metazoa; Arthropoda; Arachnida; Mesostigmata; Varroidae
Source: RefSeq, a predicted model, not a curated record
CCAUUCUGUUUCGGUUGGUCACACCAAUUGUAUCGUUUACGAAGACCACUCGAGGACACAGUCACCCCCUUAAAAUGCCCAAGCACUGGAAAAGACCCUUGACCCAGAUGUACAAAAUCAACUAUAACUACGGAACUUCGCUGUACUCAAACUGUCUGGACGAGUUGGACCGCAAAAGCAAUAACCGCCUAAGCGGAACCUACGACUAUGGAAGCGGAAGUUCGUGCAGCGAGCGCCAUAUCCGAACCGCCAACCAGCUAAUGGAGGAGCUGAAGGCUGAGGGCGAUGCUUUCGUGGCUGAUCAGAAGCACAACACGACGACAGAGAUCGCUGCGGUAUAGACGCGGAUGAUGCUAGAUGCGGUUUUCGAUCAGCAGCAGCAGACGAACUUAUCGUGAGGUCGAUACAGCAGGUCCAGGCUCGUCGAAAGCGUAUCCUGCACUCAAUCGAAGUUUAAUAACCGGAGACGAAGUAACUUAUAACAUUCUCCCCCCAUCCCCCUAUAAAUUAAGUUACGAAUAUCAGUCAUUCGCUACUCGUAGCUUCCCUUUCUUAGUGCGGCCUUUAUCUAUUACCUAGCUAAUACGAUGAUGGCGAGAACAUGGUCUUUGUUAGACCAUAGAAAUUAAACACGGCUCAUCUAAAUUUCGAUCUUAGUCAAGUGUUCGGCGACAAUCGGAUAAAAAUACAUUCAUCCAAGAACAAUGCUAUCAUAACGAGAUACGUAACGGCGUUAGGGUAAGCAUGACAAAAGGUGAUCGGGAAGUGCACACUAUUUAGCUUUUGCGCCAAGUGAUUUAAGCCAAAAAUGAACAAUUGGGCAGUAAAAAAGAGAAAAAAAAAAAACACAAGAGCUUCUCGCGAUAUGCUCUGUACAGACAUUAGUUUGUUUCACAUACAUACCUCACACGCAUAGAUGCGUAUACCGUCAUAUAUUGGUAAUACGAACAAAUAAUACAAUACCGUCAUCUCGGAUAGUGGUAUCUAAAUAUAACCUGCUGAACUAUAGGUGAAAGAGCUAUUGAAUUGAAACUAAAAGACCUGAGAGGAAAUAACGACAGAAACGGGCGCAGAGUACCAAGAUUCGAUUUGUUUUGAAGUGGUGAACAGGGCAGUAUUCGAGGGCCUGAUCGCAAUAUGGUAUAUGUAUAGAGUCAUGUAAAUAAAAAUAUAAAAACCAACCGACAGCGGAUAAUCAACAUGUUACACGCCCCACGAUCGAUCAUGGAAAAGAAAUAAAGCGAUGGAAACAGCUGAUACCAGUUGAGCUGAA